This 1254-nucleotide long non-coding RNA is filed under the name Malus domestica (apple). Its description in RNAcentral is "long non-coding RNA (MDOM_LNC005853)". Lineage: Eukaryota; Viridiplantae; Streptophyta; Magnoliopsida; Rosales; Rosaceae. The record is from RNAcentral.
UUGUCUUUGUUAUUGGGCUAAUUGCCCAUUUUGUUUUAGUUGUCAUACAACUUAAACAUAAUGGGCUUUGUGGGCCAAAACACUUUUGGGCCCCGAAACCCAAAACCAACUUAAAAGCCCAAUACGAACCUUUCGUAAAAUUAAUUAACUAAUUAAUUAAUCUUGAUCAUUUUUCAAUUAAACCAUUUAAUUGCAUAUCCAUUUUAUUUAUAUUUCUUCACUUUCAUCCUUACUCGGUGUACGAUCCAUUAGGUUCCAAUUAGCAAGGCAGGGGGCGAUUGUUACUCUUAACGAUCGAUUAUGAAUUGAAACUACAUUUCAAUUCUCCCUUUGAUUAAGAUUAGUUUUUGCUAAUCUUCAGGGCUUCCACAAACCAUGAGUGACACCUAGCAGCAUGUCAUGGUUACCAAAACUAAGUAGAAGUGGUUGGAGAACCUAUCCAGUUACAACUACAACGCAAUACGGUCUUUCUCUAAUACAAUACUCUUAAUCACAUUGUUUGAGUGAUAGUUUGUUUCAUGUCUACUAUCCAAUGUAAUACUUCUCUAUAUGAUUCAAUUGAAUAUGAUUUGGAACAAACUUCUUAAGUCAUAUUCAUAUGCUUUGGCCAAAGACUCCCGAAUCAUAUCUUAGAGUAUUCUCCUUCCACCAUGGAAGGUUAGAGAUCCCUUGUUGUGCAUUCAUAUGCCUACAUGAUUAGAUAGCUUGACCCCAACAAUGCCGUGGACAUUCUCGAUGGAAUGCCUUUGACAUGAUCAAAGAUCAAGGACCUAACCAUUAGACAUCUAUGAUGCCUCAGGUAAAAGGACUAAUUUGCAUAUUGCAACUAACGAGUUCUUACAUGACAUGUAUGUUCGAACUCUCUUUUGAUCGUUGUUCAGUGUACUCGAUUACUCUUUCAAGCACCUAUGUGUUUGUCUUAGUGUCCAACACUAAAUGACUUGAGACUAGUCAUACUCACACUUGAGUUGACAUAACACAUACUAACCUUAGCGGAUUCUCAAUGCCCAAUUGGCAAUCCUAUGGCUAGGAAUGUUUUAGGAAUGAACAUAAGAGAAAGGUCUCGUUAAUCUAACUUAUUUAAAUCACUUCUCUCUUAGAUCAAAUACAUUCCUUGGAUUCCCUUAUUGCUUAAACACAUGAUACAAUAAAUAGUGAUUAACAAUAAGGUUUGCCCUUCAUUAAACAUAUAAUAGUUUAAUACAUUAAGUAUUCCAAAAGCUAUUAAAUCAAAUAAGUGGCUUUGUGGGCAUA